CAAGAUGGCAUCAUGAGUCCACAUGUUCACAUGAUUAAAGGUAUUCCGGUAGACGAUGGGGAUGCGUUCCAUUAGAUAGUAGGCGGGGUAACGGCCCACCUAGUCUUCGAUGGAUAGGGGUUCUGAGAGGAAGGUCCCCCACAUUGGAACUGAGACACGGUCCAAACUCCUACGGGAGGCAGCAGUGAGGAAUAUUGGUCAAUGGGCGAGAGCCUGAACCAGCCAAGUAGCGUGAAGGAUGACUGCCCUAUGGGUUGUAAACUUCUUUUAUAAAGGAAUAAAGUCGGGUAUGCAUACCCGUUUGCAUGUACUUUAUGAAUAAGGAUCGGCUAACUCCGUGCCAGCAGCCGCGGUAAUACGGAGGAUCCGAGCGUUAUCCGGAUUUAUUGGGUUUAAAGGGAGCGUAGAUGGAUGUUUAAGUCAGUUGUGAAAGUUUGCGGCUCAACCGUAAAAUUGCAGUUGAUACUGGAUAUCUUGAGUGCAGUUGAGGCAGGCGGAAUUCGUGGUGUAGCGGUGAAAUGCUUAGAUAUCACGAAGAACUCCGAUUGCGAAGGCAGCCUGCUAAGCUGCAACUGACAUUGAGGCUCGAAAGUGUGGGUAUCAAACAGGAUUAGAUACCCUGGUAGUCCACACGGU
This 636-nucleotide ribosomal RNA is filed under the name uncultured bacterium. RNAcentral describes it as "bacterial SSU rRNA". It matches the Rfam family "Bacterial small subunit ribosomal RNA", at positions 169 to 803 of the family's 1533-position model. The record is from RNAcentral.